Molecule: long non-coding RNA, 1202 nt
Organism: Cyprinus carpio carpio
Lineage: Eukaryota; Metazoa; Chordata; Actinopteri; Cypriniformes; Cyprinidae
Source: Ensembl
CUCAGAUUCCAGAUUUUCAAAUACAAUUGUCACGGUUCAUGAAUCGGCUGUCUCACACUGAGGUGUCUGUGUGAGUGUAAUUGUGUGGGUGUGGUUACUCAUUGUGUUGAUUAGUGUCACCAGCUGUCGUUGAUUUCACCUCCCUUUAUAUGUCAGUAAAUUCCCUCUCAUGUUGUCAGAUCGUUGUGGUUGUUCCCUGGUGUGCGUCCUGUUCUUGUGUCUCGUCAAGCCCCGUUCUCCGUUUGGAUUUCGUCAGUUCUUCGUGUCGUUUGGAUUUCGUCAGUUCCUCGUGUCGUCUGGAUGUUCAACGGUUCCUGGGGUUCUCUUCACGCUCUUCACCGCACCACCACCGGAUCGCCAUCUCGUCCCUGCUUCACCACCACCUGAGUGUGAGUGCUCCUCCCCCAACAUGGAUGAAAUCCUCCACUGGCUCACUGAGGUUAGCUUCCGCCACCAACAGAUCGUUGAGCACCUCGCCACCCAUCAAGGGGAGACAGAGCAGGAGCUUGCAUCCCUUUUUGCCGCCACCACUAAGCUGCUACCCAAGCUGACCCCCCCAUGAUGAUGUGGAAGCAUACUUGGAGAUGUUUGAAACCACGGCAACCUCGGAGGGAUGGCAUACAGACGACUGGGCAGGAGUGCUGGCUUCCUUGCUGACGGGUGAAGCCCAGCGUGCAUACUUCUCUCUAACCGCCGCCUCCGCUGAUCAGUAUACGGUGGUCAAGAUGGAAAUUCUAGCUCGCCUGGGGUUAUCUGUGCUGCUCAUUACUUCCACGAGUGGGAAUAUAAGCCCCGUCUGCCGGCCCGUGCCCAGACCACAGAACUCACACGACUCGCGCAGUACUGGCUGCUGGAGGGGGCUCCAUCAGCUAGUCAGGUCGCAGAACAUGUCGUGAUAGACUGACUUCUCCAAGCCCUUCCCUGAUCUCACCGGGAGGCAGUUGGGAUGAGGAACCCAACCACCAUCUCGGAGCUCGUGGAGACUAUCGAGCUGGUGGAUGUGACCCAACAUCGGGAUGCUGGGGAGCGUGCGCCACCGUUUCCCCGGAGGGUGGUCCAGGAGCGACGUGCGCUGGAGGGUACCCAGUGACCAGUAAGCAGGCCGGUGGCUCACUCUCUGCAGGAUAAGCCCAUGCCAACGGAGGCCCCCGCAUUUCCCAUACGGACCUGGCUGGCAGGCUGUAUUGUGCACCGUGACCUGU